AACAGUCUGGAGUGGGAAGAGGGGAAGAAAAGCCAAGGAUUCAUAACGAGGAAGCGGACACUGAGGCCACACCCAACAAGUCCAGUCCCUCGAGUGGCAGCGUGGGCACUGGGACCCGGAGGUGGGAGGACCACCGUGGCCUGGUGAGGGCCUGUGACGGGGCUUCUGCCUCCCUGUCGCACUCACUGGAAACACGUCUGUGAUGUGCACAGGAAUCAAAGAAACGCCCAGAAUCGGAGCUUCAUGGGUAGAGGGAAUCUGAAGGAGCAGCGGGUGCCGGGAAGGUGACGGUCGCACCCAAGCGGAGCAGUCAGCCAGCUGAGGCCACGGAGCACUGGAAUCUGGAGAGAGACAAGGCGACAUCUGCAAAAGCCAAAACCACCAGAGGAAGCCAGGUCCCCAAGCAAUAUUGGGAACGGGUGGGGCGAACUGCUGAUAUUCGGAGGGAGAAAAGUAAAUGAAGCUGUGAAGAAGGCAAAGAUUGGGAAAGAGUCAGGAUGUCCUAGUUUUCCCCAAACCAAGGAGGGAGUGGCUAACGGCAUCAAAUGCCCUCUAGAGGUCUGGGCAACUAAGGACGGAAAGAAGGCCCAGAGGUCUGGUGCAUGGGGCCAGUGACCGCCACUGAGGAGGCAGGGCAUGUGGGAGGAGCAAGAGGCAGGGCUUUAGGAGGUGGGGGUGGUAAUGAAACGGAGAAGAUGCACGUAGGCAGGCUUGUUUGAAAAGUUUGUUGGUGAAAGGAGAAAGUUGAAAAGUUAGGAGAAUAUGAGGUUCAGGUCAAGUUUGAUCCAGGGUAUAUGUGUUUACGUGGAGCAGGAAAUAAACAGGCAGAUUAGAGAUGCUGGCAGAGACUCUGUGAGAGGGCUGGAGGGAAGGACACAGAACUCAGGGACAGGGCAGGUCCUUGGGAAGGGAGUUGGGCUCCGCUUCCUCUGAAAUAGGUGUGAGGGAAGAAAUUGAGUUAAAACUCUGCUAAUUAAAAAUUUAAAAGAAAGGUAAAAGAGGUAUAGAAAAGAGACUAUAAUUCCCCAAUAUUGUUC
This 1037-nucleotide long non-coding RNA is filed under the name Marmota monax (woodchuck). Lineage: Eukaryota; Metazoa; Chordata; Mammalia; Rodentia; Sciuridae. The record is from RNAcentral.